This 493-nucleotide ribosomal RNA is filed under the name uncultured bacterium. RNAcentral describes it as "partial 16S ribosomal RNA". It matches the Rfam family "Bacterial small subunit ribosomal RNA", at positions 29 to 523 of the family's 1533-position model. The record is from RNAcentral.
AUUGAACGCUGGCGGCAUGCUUUACACAUGCAAGUCGAACGGUAACAGGUUAAGCUGACGAGUGGCGAACGGGUGAGUAAUGCAUCGGAACGUGCCCGAUCGUGGGGGAUAACGCAGCGAAAGCUGCGCUAAUACCGCAUACGAUCUGAGGAUGAAAGCGGGGGACCGUAAGGCCUCGCGCGAUCGGAGCGGCCGAUGUCAGAUUAGGUAGUUGGUGGGGUAAAGGCCCCCCAAGCCGACGAUCUGUAGCUGGUCUGAGAGGACGACCAGCCACACGGGGACUGAGACACGGCCCAGACUCCUACGGGAGGCAGCAGUGGGGAAUUUUGGACAAUGGGCGAAAGCCUGAUCCAGCAAUGCCGCGUGCAGGAAGAAGGCCUUCGGGUUGUAAAGCUCUUUUGUCAGGGAAGAAACGGUUGUGGCUAAUAUCCAUGGCUAAUGACGGUACCUGAAGAAUAAGCACCGGCUAACUACGUGCCAGCAGCCGCCGUAA